GUCGGGAUGGCGAAACUGGCAGACGCAGGAGACUUAAAAUCUCCCGGUGAGACCACCGUGCGGGUUCGAUCCCCGCUCCCGACA
RNAcentral lists this transfer RNA (84 nucleotides) under Deltaproteobacteria bacterium. RNAcentral's name for it is "tRNA-Leu". It matches the Rfam family "tRNA". From Rfam's summary of the family: Transfer RNA (tRNA) molecules are approximately 80 nucleotides in length. Their secondary structure includes four short double-helical elements and three loops (D, anti-codon, and T loops). Further hydrogen bonds mediate the characteristic L-shaped molecular structure. tRNAs have two regions of fundamental functional importance: the anti-codon, which is responsible for specific mRNA codon recognition, and the 3' end, to which the tRNAs corresponding amino acid is attached (by aminoacyl-tRNA synthetases). tRNAs cope with the degeneracy of the genetic code in two manners: having more than one tRNA (with a specific anti-codon) for a particular amino acid; and 'wobble' base-pairing, i.e. permitting non-standard base-pairing at the 3rd anti-codon position. Lineage: Bacteria; Pseudomonadati; Myxococcota; Myxococcia. The record is from RNAcentral.